This is a non-coding RNA of Ustilago trichophora, 111 nucleotides long. The record is from the annotation of a GenBank genome assembly. NCBI's taxonomy places the organism in Eukaryota, Fungi, Basidiomycota, Ustilaginomycetes, Ustilaginales, Ustilaginaceae.
UCCCGAUUAGCUCAGUCGGUAGAGCGUCAGACUUUUAACACAAAGUCUUCGAGCAUUAGCUCGAAACGAGUCAUUAUCUGAAUGUCAGGGGUUCGAGCCCCCUAUUGGGAG